This 370-nucleotide ribosomal RNA is filed under the name uncultured eukaryote. RNAcentral's name for it is "partial 18S ribosomal RNA". It matches the Rfam family "Eukaryotic small subunit ribosomal RNA", at positions 592 to 976 of the family's 1831-position model. The record is from RNAcentral.
CAAUAGCGUAUAUUAAAGUUGUUGCAGUUAAAAAGCUCGUAGUUGGAUUUCUGGUCGGAAGCUCCUGUCCUCUGAUGAGCGUACAAGUGCGUCCUACCAUCCUUCUGUUAACCUUUAAGGCUUUCGCGGCUUUCUAGGGGCUCAGAUAUUUUACCUUGAGAAAAUUAGAGUGUUUCAGGCAGGCUAGCGCCGGAAUACAUUAGCAUGGAAUAAUGGAAUAGGACUUUUUCCUCUUCUGUUGGUCAUGAGGCUCGAGUAAUGAUUAAUAGGGAUAGUUGGGGGCAUUAGUACUUAACUGUCAGAGGUGAAAUUCUCGGAUUUGUUAAAGACUAACUUAUGCGAAAGCAUUUGCCAAGGAUGUUUUCAUUAA